RNAcentral lists this ribosomal RNA (497 nucleotides) under uncultured bacterium. Its description in RNAcentral is "partial 16S ribosomal RNA". It matches the Rfam family "Bacterial small subunit ribosomal RNA", at positions 28 to 507 of the family's 1533-position model. The record is from RNAcentral.
GAUGAACGCUGGCGGCGUGCCUAAUACAUGCAAGUCGAGCGAACAGACGAGGAGCUUGCUCCUCUGACGUUAACGGCGGACGGGUGAGUAACACGUGGAUAACCUACCUAUAAGACUGGGAUAACUUCGGGAAACCGGAGCUAAUACCGGAUAAUUUAUUGCACCGCAUGGUUCAAUAGUGAAAGACGGUUUUGCUGUCACUUCUAGAUGGAUCCGCGCCGCAUUAGCUAGUUGGUAAGGUAACGGCUUACCAAGGCAACGAUGCGUAGCCGACCUGAGAGGGUGAUCGGCCACACUGGAGCUGAGACACGGUCCAGACUCCUACGGGAGGCAGCAGUAGGGAAUCUUCCGCAAUGGGCGAAAGCCUGACGGAGCAACGCCGCGUGAGUGAUGAAGGUCUUCGGAUCGUAAAACUCUGUUAUUAGGGAAGAACAAAUGUGUAAGUAACUAUGCACGUCUUGACGGUACCUAAUCAGAAAGCCACGGCUAACUACGUG